AUUGAACGCUGGCGGAAUGCUUUACACAUGCAAGUCGAGCGGCAGCGCGGGGGCAACCCUGGCGGCGAGCGGCGAACGGGUGAGUAACACAUCGGAACGUACCCUGUCGUGGGGGAUAACGGAUCGAAAGAUUCGCUAAUACCGCAUACGACCUGAGGGUGAAAGCGGGGGAUCGCAAGACCUCGCGCGAGAGGAGCGGCCGAUGUCGGAUUAGCUAGUUGGUGAGGUAAAGGCCCACCAAGCCAACGAUCUGUAGCUGGUCUGAGAGGACGACCAGCCACACUGGAACUGAGACACGGUCCAGACUCCUACGGGAGGCAGCAGUGGGGAAUUUUGGACAAUGGGCGAAAGCCUGAUCCAGCCAUUCCGCGUGCAGGAUGAAGGCCCUCGGGUUGUAAACUGCUUUUGUACAGAACGAAAAGGUUUCUACUAAUACUAGGAGCUCAUGACGGUACUGUAAGAAUAAGCACCGGCUAACUACGUGCCAGCCGCCGCCGUAA
RNAcentral lists this ribosomal RNA (500 nucleotides) under uncultured bacterium. RNAcentral describes it as "partial 16S ribosomal RNA". It matches the Rfam family "Bacterial small subunit ribosomal RNA", at positions 30 to 523 of the family's 1533-position model. The record is from RNAcentral.